GCCCUUCCUACGGGGCGCAGCAGGGGCGAAAACUUUACAAUGCGGGCAACCGUGAUAAGGGGACCUCGAGUGCCUGUACAUGCAGGCUGUCUGGGUGUCUAAAACACACCCAAAGAAAGGGCCGGGCAAGACCGGUGCCAGCCGCCGCGGUAAUACCGGCGGCUCGAGUGGUGGCCACUUUUAUUGGGCUUAAAGCGUUCGUAGCUGGGUUGUUAAGUCUCUUGGGAAAUCUGGCAGCUUAACUGUCAGGCGUCUAAGAGAUACUGGCAAUCUAGGAACCGGGAGAGGUGAGGGGUACUUCGGGGGUAGGAGUGAAAUCCUGUAAUCCUCGAGGGACCACCUGUGGCGAAGGCGCCUCACCAGAACGGCUUCGACAGUGAGGGACGAAAGCUGGGGGAGCAAACCGGAUUAGAUACCCGGGUAGUCCCAGCCGUAAACGAUGCGCGUUAGGUGUGUCGAUGACCACGAGUCAUCGAGGUGCCGAAGGGAAACCGUGAAACGCGCCGCCUGGGAAGUACGGUCGCAAGGCUGAAACUUAAAGGAAUUGGCGGGGGAGCAC
This 559-nucleotide ribosomal RNA is filed under the name uncultured archaeon. Its description in RNAcentral is "bacterial SSU rRNA". It matches the Rfam family "Archaeal small subunit ribosomal RNA", at positions 316 to 879 of the family's 1478-position model. The record is from RNAcentral.